UAGGGAAUAUUGCGCAAUGGGCGAAAGCCUGACGCAGCGACGCCGCGUGAGUGAUGAAGGCCUUCGGGUCGUAAAGCUCUGUCGGACGGGAAAGAACACCUUUAAGGUAAAUAAUCUUAGAGGCUGACGGUACCCGUUCAGAAAGCACCGGCUAACCCUGUGCCAGCAGCCGCGGUAAUACAGGGGGUGCAAGCGUUGUUCGGAAUUAUUGGUCGUAAAGGGCGUGUAGGCGGGAUGGUGUGUCAGAUGUGAAAUACCUGGGCUCAACCCAGGAAUUGCAUUUGAAACUAUCAUUCUUGAGUACGGGAGAGGAAAGUGGAAUUCCCAGUGUAGAGGUGAAAUUCGUAGAUAUUGGGAGGAACACCGGUGGCGAAGGCGACUUUCUGGACCGAUACUGACGCUGAAACGCGAAAGCGUGGGUAGCAAACAGG
RNAcentral lists this ribosomal RNA (431 nucleotides) under uncultured bacterium. RNAcentral's name for it is "bacterial SSU rRNA". It matches the Rfam family "Bacterial small subunit ribosomal RNA", at positions 355 to 776 of the family's 1533-position model. The record is from RNAcentral.